Molecule: long non-coding RNA, 471 nt
Organism: Drosophila grimshawi
Lineage: Eukaryota; Metazoa; Arthropoda; Insecta; Diptera; Drosophilidae
Exons: 2
Source: RefSeq, a predicted model, not a curated record
ACUCUCGAGUGCAUUGCUCAGCCAAGUUCAGGCCAGGAGAAAGGCGUUGAGCCCAGGUGAAACUGAAAGCCAUGAGCCAAAGUGUGAAAGUAUCUGCAGCAAUUCGAAAUGAUAGCGCACACUAUUCAGUGGACUAGCUCAAAAGUUUGUGGCUUUUGCAUUUGCUUACGAAUCGAAGUGCGAACAACAAAGGAAAAACUGAUUGUUUGGGAUCGAUGCCGCAAUGAGGCGUAUGCGUAUUUUAUUACGGGCAAUUUGGCAUUCCAGCCACGCGCAUUUGGCUUUGUUUUCAGCGCAUAUUCAUAUUGUAAUUCAGGCAAUUGCGAGCCCAGCACAUCAGCAUUCUUGCAUUUUCCCAUUUCGUAUGCAAAUUUAGCUCACGAUAAUUUCAAACAAUAUACCCUGUACCCAUGCCCAAUGGGUAAGCUGAGUAUUAUAAAGUUGUGCAAAUAUACAGACAUAUAACUAGCA